This 468-nucleotide ribosomal RNA is filed under the name uncultured bacterium. RNAcentral's name for it is "partial 16S ribosomal RNA". It matches the Rfam family "Bacterial small subunit ribosomal RNA", at positions 28 to 507 of the family's 1533-position model. The record is from RNAcentral.
GACGAACGCUGGCGGCGCGCCUAACACAUGCAAGUCGAACGGAGUCAAGAGGAGCUUGCUUUUCUUGACUUAGUGGCGAACGGGUGAGUAACGCGUGAGUAACCUGCCCUGGAGUGGGGGACAACAGUUGGAAACGACUGCUAAUACCGCAUAAGCCCACGGAUCUGCAUGGAUCUGCGGGAAAAGGAUUUAUUCGCUCUGGGAUGGACUCGCGUCCAAUUAGCUAGUUGGUGAGGUAACGGCCCACCAAGGCGACGAUUGGUAGCCGGACUGAGAGGUUGAACGGCCACAUUGGGACUGAGACACGGCCCAGACUCCUACGGGAGGCAGCAGUGGGGGAUAUUGCACAAUGGGGGAAACCCUGAUGCAGCGACGCCGCGUGGAGGAAGAAGGUUUUCGGAUUGUAAACUCCUGUCGUUAGGGACGAUAAUGACGGUACCUAACAAGAAAGCACCAGCUAACUACGUG